AUUCUAUUAGUGUAUUUGUUCUGUUUAUUUUUCUGCUAUUUAUCUCAUAAGUAUCCCCUAGCAAAAUACCACAUAUCAGAAUAUAAUAUUUUCGGUAAGGUUCUUUUUUCAGCUAGUAAGUUCUCCUAAAUUGAACUUGAAAUCAAAGCCCUGGCCACAAAAAGACAUAGCAAAAACAGAACAAAGAAGGAGAAGUCGAAAGAGAAUACUUAACCUUGCCAGACGCUGAUCUUCAGAGCUUCUUUAUUGAGCCCCCUAACGUAGUUUCCAAGAUACCUCUGGAGCAAAUACGCUACCUGAUCCUCCAACAUCUUCGCGCUCCUUUCCUCGUCUGCACAGCUAUCAGAAACUCCACGUUGAUUACGAAAACACCAUAGCAGAAUAAGAAGAGAAACGAAGAGAAGGAAACUAAUAUAGAAAAAUCAAAUACAACUUCAUCAACUCUGCGAAUCGUGGGGUUUAAAGAACAGAUCACACUCUUCCCCCAGAACACGCUAGGCGUAUUGGCCGCAUGAAUGGCACGUGCUUCGAGUAAUAAUCAUAUGCGGGACUCCACGUUAGCCUCCAUGGACUCUCGGGGAUGAUUCAUCUGAUUAACCCUAAUUUACCUGAUUCACCGGACACAACGUCGUUGAUCAAGUUGACUUUUGGCAAAUUACAUAAAUGCCACUGUACGAUAAAGUCACUUCAG
RNAcentral lists this long non-coding RNA (691 nucleotides) under Carica papaya (papaya). Its description in RNAcentral is "long non-coding RNA (CPAP_LNC006926)". Lineage: Eukaryota; Viridiplantae; Streptophyta; Magnoliopsida; Brassicales; Caricaceae. The record is from RNAcentral.